Molecule: long non-coding RNA, 1253 nt
Organism: Chenopodium quinoa (quinoa)
Lineage: Eukaryota; Viridiplantae; Streptophyta; Magnoliopsida; Caryophyllales; Amaranthaceae
Exons: 4
Source: RefSeq, a predicted model, not a curated record
AGGCAAAUUGGGCCAGAGAUAUAGAAAAUGAUUUUCGGAAUGAUAAUUGGGCUGAAGGAAGCCAUGGCAGUGAAUUGGGAAAAAUCACAUCAUCCCCCGAAUGAGCCGUUUAUAUCUCCUACUUUGUUUCGGUAUGAAUGCUUUGAUGACAUGCCUUUGGAAAGGCCAUCCCCUUUUGAAAAGCCUGACGCAGGCCCUAUUGAGAAGUUGAAGGUAGCGGGAGUUAGCCUAGAGUCACCAUCGAAAGAUAAUUCGCUUGAGGGUAGGUUAGCUACUUUAGACCAUACAAUCAACGUCGGUGGUAUAUAAGUCCCCAUUACGUUAGCUGUAAGCUUUGUAGCGAAAGAAGUGGCAGAUGACAUCAGGUAGGAAGAUUUAGAAUGUAACGGCGACUCUAUCAAUGGCAACCUAGCUAGAUCUCCAAGCGUAAGGCCAUCAGUAGAUGUGACUGCAGAAUAUCGUAAGUUGUCAGCAUUUCAGAAAGAUAUGAUUCACUUCAUUAGGAGAUGGGGUGAAAAUAAGCGGAAAGGAGAUUGGCUCAAGUGAAGGCUGGGAAGCAUGCUUUGGACUUGCUUGGAAGAAGAUGGUCAAGGCCUUCCGGUACAUGCUUGACAUUUGAUGUUUGUGUGGUAUGGAAACAUGAUGAUAUUCUUUAUCUCAAUCUUGGCAAAAUUAUUUUGCAAGUUUAGUUGAAAUGGAUAAUUACUGUCUAACCAUAUUCACAUGUGAAAAUUAGGUGUUCGUUCCAGUGUUGGAGAAAGAGCACUGGUGGUGUAUUGCCUUUGCCCUCCAGCAUAAAACAAUUUGAGUGAUUGACUCCCUCUUCAUGAAUGCAUUGGCCGACCACGAGACUACAAUUAGGGAAUUGAUACAAGCUGUUGAUGUGAUGUUACAUUGUGUGGAUCAUACAUGGUUGGUUAAUAAGUUGCCCAAGUGGGAAAUAAAGCAAUUGGAAAUCUCCAACAAACAGAUAACAAGGUCUAUGGAGUCUUGAUGCUACGCUAUAUGAAGCUAUGUUGUGAACGGUUUGCACCCGAAAGUGGAACGGUAUUCUUGAACCUAUUGAUUUGUGGACAUUAUGUAUGAUGCGCUAUAUGUUUAGUCUAAUAUAGUGGUUGUUUUUCUACAUUGCUUUGUUUGCUCAAUUAUUUGCCCUAAAACCUUAACAUUUCAAUGUAGGUUUCCAUUCCCAAAGCUAGACUCAAUGGAUGAUCAUCCUAUUCAUAUGAUUUUUACAAUGAUAAUAAAGUACA